Molecule: ribosomal RNA, 253 nt
Filed under: uncultured bacterium
Lineage: Bacteria
Description: partial 16S ribosomal RNA
Rfam family: Bacterial small subunit ribosomal RNA
Source: RNAcentral
UACAGGGGGUGCAAACGUUGCUCGGAAUCAUUGGGCGUAAAGCGCGCGCAGGCGGUCCUUUAAGUCUGAUGUGAAAGCCCACGGCUCAACCGUGGAGGGUCAUUGGAAACUGGGGGACUUGAGUACAGAAGAGAAGAGUGGAAUUCCACGUGUAGCGGUGAAAUGCGUAGAGAUGUGGAGGAACACCAGUGGCGAAGGCGACUCUUUGGUCUGUAACUGACGCUGAGGCGCGAAAGCGUGGGGAGCAAACAGG